Molecule: ribosomal RNA, 301 nt
Filed under: uncultured bacterium
Lineage: Bacteria
Description: partial 16S ribosomal RNA
Rfam family: Bacterial small subunit ribosomal RNA
Source: RNAcentral
CAGUAGCCGCGGUAAUACGAAGGGGGCUAGCGUUGUUCGGAAUAACUGGGCGUAAAGCGCACGUAGGCGGAUAUUUAAGUCAGGGGUGAAAUCCCGCAGCCCAACUGCGGAACUGCCUUUGAUACUGGGUAUCUUGAGUAUGGAAGAGGUUAGUGGAAUUGCGAGUGUAGAGGUGAAAUUCGUAGAUAUUCGCAGGAACACCAGUGGCGAAGGCGGCUAACUGGUCCAUAACUGACGCUGAGGUGCGAAAGCGUGGGGAGCAAACAGGAUUAGAUACCCCAGUAGUCCCUGUCUCUUAUAC